This 253-nucleotide ribosomal RNA is filed under the name uncultured bacterium. RNAcentral describes it as "partial 16S ribosomal RNA". It matches the Rfam family "Bacterial small subunit ribosomal RNA", at positions 524 to 776 of the family's 1533-position model. The record is from RNAcentral.
UACGAAGGGGGCUAGCGUUGUCCGGAAUUAUUGGGCGUAAAGAGCUCGUAGGCGGUUUGUUGCGUCUAUCGUGAAAACCUGCAGCUUAACUGUGGGCUUGCGGUGGAUACGGGCAGACUUGAGUUCGGUAGGGGAGACUGGAAUUCCUGGUGUAGCGGUGAAAUGCGCAGAUAUCAGGAGGAACACCGGUGGCGAAAGCGGCUCACUGGAUCUUUUCUGACGCUGAGGCACGAAAGCUAGGGUAGCGAACGGG